GCGGCGGAUGGGUGAGUAUCACGUGGGCAACCUGCCUGUAAGAUUGGGAUAACUCGCGGAAACGUGAGCUAAUACCGAAUGAAGUCUUUCACCGCCUGGUGAAAGGAUGAAAGAUGGCUCUUGAGCUAUCACUUACAGAUGGGCCCGCGGCGCAUUAGCUAGUUGGUGGGGUAAAGGCCUACCAAGGCGACGAUGCGUAGCCGACCUGAGAGGGUGAUCGGCCACACUGGGACUGAGACACGGCCCAGACUCCUACGGGAGGCAGCAGUAGGGAAUCUUCCGCAAUGGACGAAAGUCUGACGGAGCAACGCCGCGUGAGUGAUGAAGGUCUUCGGAUCGUAAAACUCUGUUGUCAGGGAAGAACAAGUUGUGUUCUAGCAGGACAUGACCUUGACGGUACCUGACCAGAAAGCCCCGGCUAACUACGUGCCAGCAGCCGCGGUAAUACGUAGGGGGCAAGCGUUGUCCGGAAUUAUUGGGCGUAAAGCGCGCGCAGGCGGUCCUUUAAGUCUGAUGUGAAAGCCCACG
This 528-nucleotide ribosomal RNA is filed under the name uncultured bacterium. RNAcentral's name for it is "bacterial SSU rRNA". It matches the Rfam family "Bacterial small subunit ribosomal RNA", at positions 95 to 606 of the family's 1533-position model. The record is from RNAcentral.